UGGGGAAUUUUGGACAAUGGGCGCAAGCCUGAUCCAGCAAUGCCGCGUGUGUGAAGAAGGCCUUCGGGUUGUAAAGCACUUUUGUCCGGAAAGAAAACCUCGUGGUUAAUACCCGUGGGGGAUGACGGUACCGGAAGAAUAAGCACCGGCUAACUACGUGCCAGCAGCCGCGGUAAGACGUAGGGUGCAAGCGUUAAUCGGAAUUACUGGGCGUAAAGCGUGCGCAGGCGGUUCGCUAAGACAGAUGUGAAAUCCCCGGGCUUAACCUGGGAACUGCAUUUGUGACUGGCGGGCUAGAGUAUGGCAGAGGGGGGUAGAAUUCCACGUGUAGCAGUGAAAUGCGUAGAGAUGUGGAGGAAUACCGAUGGCGAAGGCAGCCCCACGGGCCAAUACUGACGCUCAUGCACGAAAGCGUGGGGAGCAAACAGG
RNAcentral lists this ribosomal RNA (429 nucleotides) under Bacillota bacterium. RNAcentral's name for it is "Firmicutes bacterium partial 16S ribosomal RNA". It matches the Rfam family "Bacterial small subunit ribosomal RNA", at positions 355 to 776 of the family's 1533-position model. Lineage: Bacteria; Bacillati; Bacillota. The record is from RNAcentral.